AUAAAAGUCUGGUACCAAAUAUUAUAAUUUACAAACAUUGUCUAGGAGCAAGUGGCAAGCAUGCAAUCACACUGUAUAACGUAAUUGUCAUGUGAACUAAUGACUAUUAAAUAGUUUAGCAAUAUACUAAGCAGUAUGAUUCUGUACAAUACAUACGCAUUUUAUACAAUCUGUUUUGUUCUGUGAUUCCUUACUGAUAAAAUAUUUUAAACAAUCAGAAUUGAUAGUUAUAACUG
This is a non-coding RNA of Paramuricea clavata, 236 nucleotides long. The record is from the annotation of a GenBank genome assembly. Lineage: Eukaryota; Metazoa; Cnidaria; Anthozoa; Malacalcyonacea; Plexauridae.